Molecule: ribosomal RNA, 325 nt
Filed under: uncultured eukaryote
Lineage: Eukaryota
Description: partial 18S ribosomal RNA
Rfam family: Eukaryotic small subunit ribosomal RNA
Source: RNAcentral
CCCUUAGAUGUUCUGGGCUGCACGCGCGCUACACUGAUGCGCUCAACGAGUUUUAACCUUGCCUGGAAAGGUUGGGUAAUCUUUUUAAAACGCAUCGUGAUGGGGAUAGAUUAUUGCAAUUAUUAAUCUUCAACGAGGAAUUCCUAGUAAGCGCGAGUCAUCAGCUCGUGCUGAUUACGUCCCUGCCCUUUGUACACACCGCCCGUCGCUCCUACCGAUCGAGUGAUCCGGUGAAUAAUUCGGACUGCGGCAUUGACCGGUUCCCGAUCGUUGCUGCGGAAAGUUUAGUGAACCUUAUCACUUAGAGGAAGGAGAAGUCGUAACA